CCUACGGGGGGCAGCAGUGGGGAAUAUUGCACAAUGGGCGCAAGCCUGAUGCAGCCAUGCCGCGUGUGUGAAGAAGGCCUUCGGGUUGUAAAGCACUUUCAGCGGGGAGGAAGGCGGUGAGGUUAAUAACCUCAUCGAUUGACGUUACCCGCAGAAGAAGCACCGGCUAACUCCGUGCCAGCAGCCGCGGUAGUACGGAGGGUGCAAGCGUUAAUCGGAAUUACUGGGCGUAAAGCGCACGCAGGCGGUCUGUCAAGUCGGAUGUGAAAUCCCCGGGCUCAACCUGGGAACUGCAUUCGAAACUGGCAGGCUAGAGUCUUGUAGAGGGGGGUAGAAUUCCAGGUGUAGCGGUGAAAUGCGUAGAGAUCUGGAGGAAUACCGGUGGCGAAGGCGGCCCCCUGGACAAAGACUGACGCUCAGGUGCGAAAGCGUGGGGAGCAAACAGGAUUAGAUACCCUUGUAGUC
Molecule: ribosomal RNA, 465 nt
Filed under: uncultured Klebsiella sp.
Lineage: Bacteria; Pseudomonadati; Pseudomonadota; Gammaproteobacteria; Enterobacterales; Enterobacteriaceae
Description: bacterial SSU rRNA
Rfam family: Bacterial small subunit ribosomal RNA
Source: RNAcentral